UACGGGGGGGGCAAGCGUUGUUCGGAAUUACUGGGCGUAAAGGGCUCGUAGGUGGCCAACUAAGUCAGACGUGAAAUCCCUCGGCUUAACCGGGGAACUGCGUCUGAUACUGGAUGGCUUGAGUUCGGGAGAGGGAUGCGGAAUUCCAGGUGUAGCGGUGAAAUGCGUAGAUAUCUGGAGGAACACCGGUGGCGAAGGCGGCAUCCUGGACCGACACCGACACUGAGGAGCGAAAGCCAGGGGAGCAAACGGG
RNAcentral lists this ribosomal RNA (253 nucleotides) under uncultured bacterium. RNAcentral describes it as "partial 16S ribosomal RNA". It matches the Rfam family "Bacterial small subunit ribosomal RNA", at positions 524 to 776 of the family's 1533-position model. The record is from RNAcentral.